GGGUGCGUAGCUCAGCUGGCUAGAGUACUUCCUUGACAUGGAAGGGGUCGAGAGUUCGAGUCUCCCCGCACCCACCA
Molecule: transfer RNA, 77 nt
Filed under: Rickettsiales bacterium
Lineage: Bacteria; Pseudomonadati; Pseudomonadota; Alphaproteobacteria; Rickettsiales
Description: tRNA-Val
Rfam family: tRNA
About the family: Transfer RNA (tRNA) molecules are approximately 80 nucleotides in length. Their secondary structure includes four short double-helical elements and three loops (D, anti-codon, and T loops). Further hydrogen bonds mediate the characteristic L-shaped molecular structure. tRNAs have two regions of fundamental functional importance: the anti-codon, which is responsible for specific mRNA codon recognition, and the 3' end, to which the tRNAs corresponding amino acid is attached (by aminoacyl-tRNA synthetases). tRNAs cope with the degeneracy of the genetic code in two manners: having more than one tRNA (with a specific anti-codon) for a particular amino acid; and 'wobble' base-pairing, i.e. permitting non-standard base-pairing at the 3rd anti-codon position.
Source: RNAcentral